Molecule: unclassified non-coding RNA, 216 nt
Filed under: Hevea brasiliensis (rubber tree)
Lineage: Eukaryota; Viridiplantae; Streptophyta; Magnoliopsida; Malpighiales; Euphorbiaceae
Source: RNAcentral
GUAAGUCUUCUACUAUUACUUUCUUUGUAGUAUGUUUUACGGCAAAUUAUCAAGUACUUUUAAGAAGAGAGGGAUACAUUCAAACUGGUGUAUUCCAUUAUCACUUCACUAGUUUUUGUUGUUUUGGAAAGGAAAUAACGUAAAAGUUGUACUGUGGAUGCUAAUUGCACCAUUUAUGGCUCUUCUGAUGUGAUAAAUGUAACACCCCUUACCCGG